AGUCCCGCAACGAGCGCAACCCUUAUCCUUAGUUGCCAGCACGUAAUGGUGGGAACUCUGGGGAGACUGCCGGUGAUAAACCGGAGGAAGGUGGGGACGACGUCAAGUCAUCAUGGCCCUUACGGGAUGGGCUACACACGUGCUACAAUGGCGCGUACAAAGGGCAGCGAACCUGCGAAGGUAAGCGAAUCUCAUAAAGCGCGUCGUAGUCCGGAUUGGAGUCUGCAACUCGACUCCAUGAAGUCGGAAUCGCUAGUAAUCGUGGAUCAGAAUGCCACGGUGAAUACGUUCCCGGGCCUU
This 300-nucleotide ribosomal RNA is filed under the name uncultured bacterium. RNAcentral's name for it is "bacterial SSU rRNA". It matches the Rfam family "Bacterial small subunit ribosomal RNA", at positions 1083 to 1382 of the family's 1533-position model. The record is from RNAcentral.